UAACAACCUGGAAACAGAUGCUAAUACCGGAUAACAACAGAUGAUGCCUAUCAACUGUUUAAAAGAUGGUUCUGCUAUCACUCUUGGAUGGACCUACGGUGCAUUAGCUAGUUGGUAGGGUAACGGCCUACCAAGGCGAUGAUGCAUAGCCGAGUUGAGAGACUGAUCGGCCACAUUGGGACUGAGACACGGCCCAAACUCCUACGGGAGGCAGCAGGU
Molecule: ribosomal RNA, 219 nt
Filed under: uncultured Lactobacillus sp.
Lineage: Bacteria; Bacillati; Bacillota; Bacilli; Lactobacillales; Lactobacillaceae
Description: partial 16S ribosomal RNA
Rfam family: Bacterial small subunit ribosomal RNA
Source: RNAcentral